GCCUCUGUAGUCUAAAGGCUUAGGACUCUCACACGGAAUAUCAGAGAUCCGGGUUCGAUUCCCGGCUGAGGUG
Molecule: transfer RNA, 73 nt
Filed under: Cyphomyrmex costatus
Lineage: Eukaryota; Metazoa; Arthropoda; Insecta; Hymenoptera; Formicidae
Rfam family: tRNA
About the family: Transfer RNA (tRNA) molecules are approximately 80 nucleotides in length. Their secondary structure includes four short double-helical elements and three loops (D, anti-codon, and T loops).
Source: Rfam by way of RNAcentral